GUGUGCGGCUGUCCCGGGAGGGCUUUAGCGCAGAGCCGCGACGGGCAGCGGGGGUGUGUUGCCUGACGCGUGCGCAGCUGUGGGGCGACACACGGGGGCGGCUUCUGCAGCCGAGGGACCCCGCUUUGCAGCCUGCACCCCGGCUCCCGCGUGCCCGCCGCUGUCUGUCGCCCGCCGGUGCGAUGAGCCCAGCCCUGCUUGGACGCUGUUCACGCCUCUGCGCUCCAUACCUUGCUCCUGUCCUCUGUUUGCAGUUCCACUCUAGCAGAGCAGGGUGGGCUCCUCCCCUCUGUACGGUAGAGGAGCCUGGUCACUGGCCCAUCUCAGUAGUGAAACUGGAGGUUUGAUGCACAGGGGAUUCUCAGUAGCAGGCGCCAGUGCCUGAUUUAUCGUGAGAAGCAGUUUAAUAUUUCGGCUAUAAAAGGCUAGAACUAGUUCCUAAUUAGAAGGUGUGCCAGGUUGUAAAUUGUCAGGUUGCAAGUAGGGAUGAGCACGCCAAGUUUUUGCGUAUAGGUCUAAAGAAGUUUUGGGGGUGGGGGAGGAUGCGGUACCCCAGACCUGUUUCCUUGUCUGCCCAGACCUUGCCAUGGUGUAGCUUUCCAUCUCUUGUGACAGUGUCUCAAGGAGCAGUAGACAUUCUUUGGCUGCAGCAGAUUUCGCAUUGUCUUCCUGAUUGGAAGAGUUCAGUUAUGAGGCUUCUGGUUGCCAGUUACUCCUUUCUUUUGAAGAGAAAGAACUGGAAUCAUUUGGAUAAGGGAUGGGCGUUGGAAGGAGUAGUUUUCACUUUUUAUGUAUUGUAUAAGGCAGUUAUGCUGUGAACUAUUUAUAUAUGAUGGAAUAAACAAAAACAAAGCAAGAGCUGCUGGAGGUUUGGAUAGUCCUACUCAUGUUGAAGUAAUCAGAAUAGUAGUAGUAUUGGCAAGUUCUCAGGGUGGGAGAUCUGUGGCUUUAGCCACCUGGAUGGAAGUCUGCGUAAUGGUUUCUCAGUGACAGGAGAUUCCCUCGGUUUUAAUCCAGUAGUUCCUAGUUAUUCCACUCUCCAGUUUCCAACCGGGUCAUUUAGGCCCUUGCAAUCUUGUGGAAUUCUUAUAAAUUCUGUUACCAGGUUUUGUUGUUGUUGUAAGGAAAAAUUCCAUUUUGUUAUCUUUUUUUUUUUUUUUUGGAUACAGUCUCUCUCUGUCACCCAGGCUGGAGUGCAGUGGCGGGAUCUCGGCUCACUGCAGCCUCUGCCGCCUGGGUCCAAGUGAUUAUCCUGUCUUGGCCUCUCUAGUAGCUGGGAUUACAGGCACCGCCACCAUGCCUGGCUAAUUUUUCUGUUUUUAGUAGAGACAGGGUUUCUCCAUGUUGGCCAGGCUGGUCUCGAACUCCUGACCUCAGGUGAUCCGCCUGUCUCAGCCUCCCAAAGUGUUGGGAUUACAGGUGUGAGCCACAGCGCUGGGCCCUAAAACUGCAUUUUGUUACCUGUUAAUAUGAAGCAUCUUUGUUGUUUCCCAAGACACUUCCUGUUUAGGUCCACAGUGAGUUUUAGGAAUUAAGUUUAGGAAAGUGGAACACAAUUUUGGCACAUUGUCUUUUUUUUUUUUUUUUUGGAGACGGUCUUGCUCUGUCGCCCAGGCUGGAGUGCAGUGGCGCGAUCUUGGCUCACUGCAACCUCCGCUUCCCGGGUUCAAGCAGUUCUCUGCCUCAGCCUCCUGAGUAGCUGGGAUUACAAGCACAUACCACCAUGCCCGGCUAACUUUCGUAUUUUUAGUAGAGACGGGGUUUCACCGUCUUGGCCAGGCUGGCCUUGAACUCUUGACCUUGUGAUCCACCCGCCUUGGCCUCCCAAAGUGCUGGGAUUACAGGCGUCAACCACCGCGCCCAACUGAACACUGUCUUUAUAAAAACACAGUCCUUUCAGAUGUCGGGACUUAUUAAUAAUUAAAUAUAUUCAAAUUUAUUUGCAACAAAAAAUUACCUUUCAUAGAAAUGUUACAUUAAAAAAUAUAUUUUAACUUAUACUUGAUGUCAUUGGAACUUUGUUAAACUUUGUUUAUAUUUUAGUGAAAGGAGAGGAAAAUGUUCGAUCAGAAAAAAAUAUAUUUCUAAUAUAUUGAAUAUUAUCCUAUCAUUGCCACAUAUUGUGCACUAUCAGAAUUACAUAUCAUCUUUGUCUUUUCCUACUGUGGGAGUUCGAUCAAUUUGUAAAACAACAUAAAUUUUUUUCUAUGGGCCAAACAGUGAUUAGAAUGGCUGAAACAUAAUACUGCUCUGAGGUAGCUGAAGCUAAUGGUAUUAAACACAAAGCCAUAUGGUAGAUCUGCAAUUAAAAAAAAAAUCACAUAUAAUGGAGGAACUGACAUGCAGUACAAUUUUAUAAAUUAUGGGUUGUUGUAGCCUGUAGUUUUAACAUGAUACAAACAUCACAUAAUUAUCCUAUAAAGGUUAAUUUCAUUGCUACAUUGACCUGACAGUUGCAGGAGUACAAUAGCUGUCAAUAAGAUAAAAUUGUGUUUUUGGUGGUUUUGGAGAAAGCUUUGAGGACUUGUUUUAGGAAAAGGCAUUUAAUCUAUUUACAACAUUAUGUUUUGGUAUUACUGGCAUUUCUUUUAAAGUAAUUCAGCAUAUUAUCACUAUAAGCUCAGAAUUCCCUUUUCCUAAAUAGAAAGUGACCUAUUUUACUGACUUUUAAAAAUGUAAGAUUACAUUACAUUUAACAACAUCAACUGUCCAUUGCAAACAGCAGUGAAGGAGACCAGUGGUGCAGGAGAUACAAAACUUUUCACGCUUACUUUUGGAAGACACGUGUUAUAUAGCAAAUGCGCCUUUCUGGUGGAGUCUGUUAUAUUAAAUUUGAUUUGUAUUCAUUUUACUGACAGCAGGAGAUUGGUAGCCUAAAAUCAUGGUAGCUUCAAGAGAGUUUUCAACCUGGCAUAAAUUUCCUUUUUCUGUGAGGAAUCCACAGGUAAGAAUUGACUGUUAGAACAAAAAGAUGAUUAAGCACUUCAUAAGUGCAGGGUUUUGUGAAAGUGGUUCAUAAUUAUAAUGUGGAUACAUUCCAGAUUCUGUUAAUGACCACCUCAACAUCAUACAGUAUAGCCAUUUUAAUAUGAUGAUGUUACGUCAACCUGUUGUACAACUACUUUAUAAUUUUACUGUGGGUGAUGUGUGUUGAAGUGAUCAUUAAACAUGCCUGUGUGCAUGUGUGUGUAUAUGUUUCUGUCCGUAUGUCAUCUUUAUCAUCAGUGUGAAACACGACUUCCUCUAUAUACACGUUUGAAUUAUUAGUUCCUUAAGUGGAUCUGAUAAAUCCUUGGAAAAAGAAGGAGAAUUUUGAGAAGUCCUGUGUGUUAGUUCCUCAAGUGGAUAUGGUAAAUUCUUGGAAAAAGAAUGAGAAUUUUGAGAGAUAAUGUAUAUUUGAUUCCUUUCUGAAAUGGAACAUAGUCUUGCCAUCUGUCUUUGGCUCUUUUUAUGACUGGUUCUGUGACUAUAGAACAGGCCAUAUACAUUAUCUGAGCGCAUGAGAAAAGCUCUACAGAGAAUGGUGGUAGGCUGGUAUGAAAGGCGCGAUGUUGUUGUAGGGCAUCGAGCCCCGGGCCGUCACCGUCACCUCGGCCGCUGCCGCUGUCACCAUGUCACCAUCGGGGCCGCUGCCGCUGUCACCAUCGCCUUGUUCCCCCAUCCCCCGCCAUGGCUGAGGACCUCUCCGCGGCCACAUCCUACUGCCCCGUCUGUCAGGAGGUGCUCAAAACGCCCGUGCGGACCGCGCCCUGUCAGCACGUUUUCUGUAGAAAAUGUUUCCUGACUGCAAUGAGGGAAAGCGGAGCACAUUGUCCCCUGUGUCGUGGAAAUGUGACUAGAAGAGAGAGCAUGCCCUGAACGGGCCUUAGACCUUGAAAAUAUAAUGAGGAAGUUUUCUGGUAGCUGCAGAUGCUGUGCAAAACAGAUUAAAUUCUAUCGCAUGAGACUUCAUUGCAAAUCUUGUAAGAAGUAUCAGGAUGAAUAUGAUGUUUCUUCUAUCAUUCCAAACUUUCAGAUCUCUGAAGAUUCAGUAGGGAACAGCAAUAGGAGUGAAACAUCCACAUCUGAUAACACAGAAACUUACCAAGAGAAUACAAGUUCUUCUGGUCAUCCUACUUAUAAGUGUCCCCUGUGUCAAGAAUCAAAUUUUACCAGAGAGCGUUUACUGGAUCACUCUAACAGUAAUCACUUAUUUCAGAUAGUUCCUGUGACAUGUCCUAUUUGUGUAUCUCUUCCUUGGGGAGAUCCUAGCCAGAUUACCAGAAAUUUCGUUAGUCAUCUAAAUCAGAGACAUCAGUUUGAUUAUGGAGAAUUUGUGAAUCUUCAGCUAGAUGAAGAAACUCAAUGUCAAACUGCUGUUGAAGAAUCAUUUCAAGUAAACAUCUGAAGGCUGUAGACAUCUCUGCAUCUUUGUACCUGCAAGUGCCAUCUUUAAGGGGGAAACUACAUGAAGUCACCGUUUCAGUAACUUGAUGUGUAUAUUAAUAAAAGUAAUUCAGUCAUUUUAGUUUUUGAUUGAAAAUAAAGGUAGGGCUUCUAAAAACUUCAUCCUCUUGGUAAGUUAAAAAAUGAAAGUUAUGACAUUAGCUUUAAAAGCGUAAAAGAUGUUUCACUAAUGUAAUGGUGAAAGAGAAUCCCUGUUGUACUUUAUCUUUUUGUAAUAUUAAAUAUUCUUGAAUUUUUCAUUAUGUUGCUUUUGAAAUUUGGUACAUUCCUCCCAUUUACUUUAUUAUUGUACACAUUAAACACACAGUAGCAAAUUUUGAACGAUGUGAUAUAAUCUAACAAAUCUGAGCCAGUUAUUAGAGUUGCAGAAUAGAAACUUGAAGUGCUAAAUGGAAAAAUCCAAAGGAAAUUUUUUAAAUGCAGAUUCUAGCUGAAAAAUUCAACUAUAAGAAAAUCGUAUUUAUAUAACAUUUACUAUUUUUGAAGACUAGUAAUAAUUUUAAUUCUUUAAAAAGUGAAAGCUUGUUGUAAAGAUAUUUUCUUUUUGUUAUUAGAAGGAAAUACAGAGAGAAAAAUUUAUUUCUUUCAUGGGCAUUUGGUAAUUUCAGUCUUUGACUGAUUUGUAAGCCUAGAAUAUACUAAGCUGAAUAGCAGCUCUUUGGCCUCAGAAUUUUCAGUAGCCAGUAUUUCUGAUUAACUAAGUUGAAACUCUUAUUAGAAACUUUCAGUUGGUAUUACUGUAUUCUAGAAGAUAUAAAUGAGAGGUUUGGCUUCAUCUCAGUUUAGAAAUUUAUUCAAAGCUAAAGAUGUAUAUGUAUAUAUAUAUACUUUUGUGUGUAUAUAUACACGUAUGUGUGUAUGCAGUUUUUCAGGUUAUAUAUAGAGUUUCUAUAAGGAUUUUUUAAAUGGACAAGCAAUAGGGGGUUGAAGUGUUUAUCUGAUUUGUUAAAAUUUUGUGUAUAACCAGAUUUUUAAAAAGUGAUAGUCACAGUGCUAAGUGAUCUAGUUGGCUGCUAUUACACCUUAGAAAUUGAGUUUACACACACACACAAUUACCUGUUUGUAUGGUGCUCAUUUCUUAUUCUCAGAUAUAAUGUGUGACCGUGAUACAGUGAGAAAGAUUCUACCAACCACUGUUUCACUACUUUUUAGUCAAAAUUGGGUAUGUUCUUAGUAUUCAUUAGUGAGAAUCAUAAAGUAUUUUGUAGAAGGCCCAAAUCACAGAAUAAAGGACUAAGAGUGGAUUCACUGACAU
This is an RNA transcript of Homo sapiens (human), 5701 nucleotides long. It is a transcript of the gene named ring finger protein 138 pseudogene 1, with no coding region annotated. Lineage: Eukaryota; Metazoa; Chordata; Mammalia; Primates; Hominidae. The transcript has a single exon. The record is from RefSeq and is marked provisional.